RNAcentral lists this ribosomal RNA (520 nucleotides) under uncultured Glomus. RNAcentral describes it as "SSU rRNA". It matches the Rfam family "Eukaryotic small subunit ribosomal RNA", at positions 569 to 1091 of the family's 1831-position model. The record is from RNAcentral. Lineage: Eukaryota; Fungi; Glomeromycota; Glomeromycetes; Glomerales; Glomeraceae.
AGCAGCCGCGGUAAUUCCAGCUUCAAUAGCGUAUAUUAAAGUUGUUGCAGUUAAAAAGCUCGUAGUUGAAUUUCGGGAUCAAUAUAUCGGUCGUGCCUUGGUACGUACUGGUAUCAUUGGUUUCUCCUUUCUGACGAACCAUGAUGUCAUUAAUUUGGUGUUAUGGGAAGUUAGGACUGUUACUUUGAAAAAAUUAGAGUGUUUAAAGCAGGCUUUAGCUUGAAUACAUUAGCAUGGAAUAAUGAAAUAGGACGUUCGAACCUAUUUUGUUGGUUUCUAGGAUCAACGUAAUGAUUAAUAGGGAUAGUUGGGGGCAUUAGUAUUCAAUUGUCAGAGGUGAAAUUCUUGGAUUUAUUGAAGACUAACUACUGCGAAAGCAUUUGCCAAGGAUGUUUUCAUUAAUCAAGAACGAAAGUUAGGGGAUCGAAGACGAUCAGAUACCGUCGUAGUCUUAACCAUAAACUAUGCCGACUAGGGAUCGGAUGAUGUUAAUUUUUUAAUGACUCAUUCGGCGCCUUAC